This 506-nucleotide long non-coding RNA is filed under the name Zea mays. Its description in RNAcentral is "long non-coding RNA (ZMAY_LNC000204)". The record is from RNAcentral. Lineage: Eukaryota; Viridiplantae; Streptophyta; Magnoliopsida; Poales; Poaceae.
UCAUAAAUAAGCAUUGUCAAAUAACUCAUACAUAAGUGUACUCUAAAUUUAAACUUGCUCAUCAACUGUUUGUGCUAACAUUGAGCCUAACUAAGUAUAUGUAAAUUCAUGUCUCCACACUUGUGCGACCACCAAAAUUUGAGUUCCAUUCCAUCUUUCAUCAAUGGCAUCAUCCAUCGUUUCAUCAAUUCAUCAUCGCCGAUGGCAUCAUUCACCAGUAUUUAUGUGCAUCUUCUGCUCUGAAUCCUGAGCCUUGACCACCCGCAAUAACAUGUCAGCAUGUUCAGCUGGCUACUGCUUCGGCUGCAGCUGCAACAGCACAAUAGCCACAACAACUUCUGUUAGUGUUGUUUGUUGCAAAAGAUACUGUAUUCAGUAAUAACAAACAAUGGUUAUUUAGGUUGCCAGGUUAACCACUCACACUGAUCAAAUUUAGUAGCAAACUGGUUCCAAAUGGUGAUGUUUAAAACUAAUGGAGAAGAACUUUAAAGCAAAUUGUUCUUGCG